Triticum aestivum (bread wheat) is the source of this 581-nucleotide long non-coding RNA. RefSeq lists it as uncharacterized. The transcript has 3 exons. The record is from RefSeq and is a predicted model, not a curated record. Lineage: Eukaryota; Viridiplantae; Streptophyta; Magnoliopsida; Poales; Poaceae.
CGUCGUCUUCUCCUCGCAGUGCCGGCCGAGCUACGGCGGUGACCCGGCCGCUGUUCUCCUCCCUACCACCGUCCUCUUCUCCUCGCUGCUCUACAUCCGUCCUGUUCGCCACGCCACCGCUGCUCACCCUCCGCCUCAACUUAGUACUUGCUCCAUUGCCGCCGUCUUCUCUCGGCCUAAUAAAUCUUACAACUUCUGGUGAUUGAUGCGAUGGAUGAGGAGAAUUUGGUGGUUGCUGCUGAUUUUGGUGCUUUGAGCAUCCAUUUCUUGGAGAAGACUCAAAAUUUGGAGGAGAUAGUUGACCAGGGCCACAAAGAUUAGUUCCGGCACGCUACCUGUUCGAUGAAAUGCCCACAGCACCCCCAGCGACGUCUUGUUCACCUCUCUUCCCACAACACUACCUAUUCGAUGAAAUGUCCUUUCGUUGUAUGAAGGACAACAUGACAUGCUGUACUAUUGCAUCAGAGUGAACUAAAGAUGCUCAACACACUGGCAUGCAAUACGAGAUGAUGGAUCUUAUGCAUGUGAGCAAUGAAAUACAAGAAACUAUCGGUAGAAACUACUACGUCCCAGAUUACAUU